Physeter macrocephalus (sperm whale) is the source of this 5807-nucleotide long non-coding RNA. RefSeq lists it as uncharacterized. The transcript has 4 exons. Lineage: Eukaryota; Metazoa; Chordata; Mammalia; Artiodactyla; Physeteridae. The record is from RefSeq and is a predicted model, not a curated record.
GCACAGAAACAAAGACCCAACACAGCAAAAAUAAAAUAAAUUAAUAAACUCCUAACCACCACCCCCCCUCCAAAAAAAAGAAAAAAGCCUUGAGGGGCUUCCCUGGUGGCGCAGUGGUUGAGAAUCCGCCUGCCAAUGCAGGGGACACGGGUUCGAUCCCUGGUCCGGGAAGAUCCCACAUGCCCGAAGCAACUAGGACCAUGCGCCACAACUACUGAGCCUGUGCUCUAGAGCCUGCGAGCCACAACUACUGAGCCCGUGUGCCGCAACUACUGAAGCCCACGUGCCUAGAGCCCGUGCUCCCCAAGAGAAGCCCUCGCACCACAACGAAGAGUAGCCUCCACUCGUCGCAACUAGAGAAAGCCCACGUGCAGCAACAAAGACCCAACACAGCCAAAAGUAAAUAAAUAAAUUUAUUUUUUAAAAAAAGAGAAGAAAGCCUUUAAUGCAUGAGAAUACUCUGAAUAUACUGAAACAAACUGGGAGGCUUAUGAUAACCUUCAAAAUGCUCUUACCCUCAAAGUAUUCGUUAUUAAUUCUAAGCAGGCCAUUAAAUGCCAGGUUUAUAAACUUUAUACAAUAUGGAAUACCUGGAUAUCAUUCCACCCCUCUAACAAAAAACACUCAUAAAUUAAUUAUACAGCAAAAGCAGAAACUUGCCUAUACCUUCUCUUUAUGUGACACUUCUGUACGUAAUCUGUAUUUUGAAAAUGACUAGAAAUUAUCAUUAGAUUAGAAAUUAGAAAUGAUGCUGUUAACCGUGAUCUGUGUUACUGUUACAUACUUUCAAGCACACUGAUACGUUUGAAUUUUUCCAGAGAUUUGAGCAUGUCAGUGGACAUCCCCCGGUAAUUGGCAAUCCACGUGAAGAGCAUGAAUUCUAACCAAUUCAAGAGGCUUUAUGGAGCACCAAGAGAGGGCAAGAUACCAAGAUGAAAGAGUCAUCCCUGACCUCAAUAAGGAGAGGAAUUCAACCACAAAAAGGAACGAACUCCUGAUACGUGUUACACGUGGACAAACCCUGAAAACACUGUGCUAAGUGAAAUACGCCAGACACAAAAGGACAAAUAUUAUGAUUCCAAUUACAUGAAAUAUCCAGAAUAGGCAAAUUCACAGGGACAGACAGCAGACCAGAGGUUACCAGGGGCUAGGAGUAGGGAGCAAUGGAUGGUUAUUACUUUAAUAGUUACAGAGUUUCUGUUUGGGGUGAAGAAAACUUCAAUUUUCCAAACAGAGGAGUGGUGAUGACUGCACAACACUGUGAACGUACUUAAUGCCACUGAAUUGUACUCUUAAAAAUGGUUAAAAUGGGGGAGUUCCCUGGUGGCCUCGUGGUUAGGAUUCCAGGCUUUUCACUGUCGUGGCCCGGGGUUCAAUCCCUGGUUGGGGGAACUGAGAUCCUGCAAGCCGAGCAGCAUGGCACGGCCAAAAAAAAAAAAAGGGUUAAAAUGACCUUAACCUAAAACUAUAAAGCUCCUAGAAGGGCACUGGACUAAGCAGUGGUUUCUUGGAUAAGGCACCAAAAGCAAAAACAGACAAAUGAGACUCCAUCAAACUUAAAAUUCUGUACAUCAAAGGACACAACAGAGUGAAACGGCAUGGGAAAAACUAUGUGUAAAUCAUAUAUAUCUAUUAAGGGGUUAAUAUUCAGAAUAUAUAAAGAACUACAACUCAACAAGAACGACAACAACAAAACUCUGAUUUUUAAAAAUGGGCAAAAAGGGGGCUUCCCUGGUGGCGCUAAGAAUCUGCCUGCCAACGCAGGGGUCACGGGUUUGAGCCCUGGUCCAGGAAGAUCCCACAUGCCGCGGAGCAACUAAGCUCGUGCGCCACAACUACUGAGCCUGUGCUCUAGAGCCUGCAAGCCACAACUACUGAGCCCACGUGCCACAAUUACUGAAGCCCGUAGGCCUAGAGGCCGUGCUCCGCAACAAGAGAAGCCACCGCAAUGAGAAACCCACGCACUGCAACGAAGAGUAGCCCCCGCUCGCCGCAACUAGAGAAAGCCCACGCACAGCAACAAAGACCCAAUGCAGCCCCCCACAAAAAAAAAAAAAUUUAAAAUGGGCAAAAGACUUCUAUAGGCAUUUCUGCAAAGCUGACAUACAAAUGGCCAUCAAGCAUAUGAAAAAAUGUUCAACAUCGUUAGGCAGAGAAAUGCAGAUCAAAACCAUGAGAGAUCACAUCACACCCAUUAGGACCAUUACUAUUAAAGAAGAAGAAAAGGGAAUUCCAUUGAGGUCCAGUGGUUAGGACUCCGAGCUUCCACUGCAGGGGGUAUAGGUUCGAUCCCUGGUUGGGGAACAAAGAUCCUGCAUGUCACAUGGCGCAGCCAAAAACAAACAAACAAACAAAAAAACAAAACAAAACGAAUGUUGGUGAGGAUGUGGAGAUAUAAGAAUCCUUGUGUACUGUUGGUGGUAUUGUGAAAUAGUGGGAUCCUUAUGGAAAACAGUAUGGAGGUUCCUCAAAAAAUUAAAAACAGAACCACCAUAUGAUCCAUCAAUUCACUUCUGAAUAUUAUCCAAAAGAACUGAAAGAAGGGGGACUUCCUUGGUGGUCCAGUAGUUAAAGACUCCACGCUCCCAAUGCAGAGGGGCCCGGGUUCGAUCCAUGGUCAGGGAACUAGAUCCCACAUGCAUGCCGCAACUAAAGAUCCGCACACUGCAAUUAAGACCUGGAACAGCCUAAUUAAAUAAAUACUAAAAAAAAGAAAAAAGAAUUGAAAGAAGGGUCUCAAGGAGAUAUCUGUACACCCAUAUUCAUAGCAGCACUAGUCACAGUGGCCAAAAGGUACAAACAACUUGUGUUCAUCAACAGAUAAAUGGAUAAACAAAAUGUGGUAUAUACAUACAAUAGAAUAUUAUUCAGCCUUUGAAAGGAAAGAAAUCCUGUCACAUGCUACAACAUGGAUGAACCUUAAAGAUAUAGUAAGUGAAAUGAUCCAGUCACAAAAAGCCAAAUACUAUUGUGAAUCCACACAUACCUAAAAGUAGUCAAAUUCAUAGAAGCAGUAAGUAGAAUGGUAGUUAUGAGAGGCUGGGGUGGGAGGAGGAAGAAAAUGGGAGUUGUUGUUUAAUGCAUAUAGAGUUUCAAAUUUAGAAGAUGAAAAGGUUCUGGAGAUCUGUUUCCCAUUAAUAUGAAUGCACCUAAUGCUACACAACUGUACACUCAAAAAUAAUUAAGAUGCUAAAUUUUAGAUUGUGUUUUUUACAUUAAAAAAUGGUUAAAAUGUAAAAUUGUUAUAUAUAUUUUACCACAAUUUUUUAAAAUAAAUAAUGCAAUAUACCAAAAACUGUUGAAGUGCAUCGUAUGUGAAUUGUAUCUCAAUAAAGCUGUUAAAAAAAAAGGCAGAGGACACAGAGUUUCACCAAAUCCAGUGAGCUUCACUCACUGGUUUACAGAAAACAGAACAAUUUGUUGGAAGUACCCAAAGCCUUGAGCAGAGGAGCCUAUGCUCCUACUUCCUCCAACUUCUUCACCCUGGCCUCCAGGUGACAGCUCUUCUCUUUCCCUUUCCAAGGCACACCACCACCACCUUGUAACUUCCCAGUUCCUUAUUACAUCUGGCCUCACAGGAAAAUUAAGUUAAAGAAGCUGCAGGGGCAGUCACAGGAGGGGGCAUGGAAUUCACGACUCACACUCCACGUUUAGCAGCAGAGCCCAAAUAUUAAAAAAAAAAAAAAAAAAAAAAAUCACACAGUAGACGUACAAUAAACGUUAGGUCUCUGCCCUUCCUCUCCUCUUCUUCAAGCCCAGCAUGUUUAAAACAGCAAAUUCUCUGCUCCCAUGCUGGGAUAGCCACUGGCCUAACUCAUAUGUGCUGGAGCUUAAACACAGGGCAUCAUUUAAAAUAUGGCUGUCAAUGCCUAUCACCUACUACUAAACUUAAAAACGUAUCACAAAACUGUAACUAGGAUAAGCGUAUUUUGUUAAAAUAAUAAACAUUUCUACAGCACAUGAAAGGGAUAAUAAGAUAAAGACCACAAAUAUUAACAAUCACCUCUGAGUGGUGGGACUAAAGGUGAGUUUCUCUUUUUUCUGGCUUAUCUGCAUUUUUAAUAAUGAAUCUGUAACUUCUGUAAUAACAAAAAUAACCCGAAAUCUUCAGAAAAAUAAAUCAUUCUGGCUCAAAAUUUCACUACCUCUUAUACUACAGACACUUUCACACGUUACUGCACUGAAGCUGAAUUGGCACCAUGUGAAACAGACACGAUUUCCUCCAUUUUGCAGAUGAGAAUGAGCUGAGGCUCAAAACAGUGACUUGGUCAAGGUUUUAUAGCUAGUAACAGACCAAGGAUUACAAUUCAGGCCUUCAACUCCAAGCCUGGGGCCCUUUCCAUUCCAUCACAUCUUAAAGGGCAAUUUGCAUUAUUGCUCAUGAUAUUGUAUUAAAAAAAAAAAAAGAAAAACCCUAUGUUGAAACUGUUGUUAAGAGCACCUGCUACAUAAUCUUGGGCAAAUAACCCCGGGAGCCUCAGUUUCCUCAUCUGAAAAGUGAAAUGGUUGGAAAAGAUAUUCUAUCUCACCAGCUAAUCUAGACUCACCAGCUAAUGGAUUUUAAGUCUAGAUACCAUCUGAGGAGAAAAUAACCCCGUGGGCAAAAAUGAAUGGUUGGAGAGAAGUUGAGGCCUAUGCUCUGGGCCAAGGGCCAUUCUUAAUGGAAACAGGUGGUGGACAGUCAAGACGAAAGAACCGCUGGGGAAACCAUAAACUUCCAGGUUAAAACAACAGCUGAAAGCUCCUGCUUCGCUUUCCUAACAGCAAUGCUUCAAUCUUGGCUAACUCAUGAUUAGAAACCACAUACUAAAAAACCCUUGGUGGUUCCCAGAGACGACUCUUCCUCAGCAAGAAUUUAAGGAGAAACUGAAAAUUGCGUACCACUCUGAGAGAUGCCACACUUGUGGAAAAGAGCCAACCCAACACUUGUGGAAAAAGUGAAAGAAUGAAAUUAAAACCUCUUCGAUCUACAGAGAAUCAAAGAAAGCGAAGAGACCUUCCUUAAGGGUGAAGUUCCUGUAAACGAUUCAGCGGGUACCUGUUACCUCUUACACGGCAGACAUUAUAAAGCACUCCACGCUAUCUGACACUAUUAUACAGCCUUCUCCCUCGAAGGUAAUAAAACUACAGCAUUAACUUUGCUGGCGAGAAAAAGAUUCCAUUUUGCUAAAGCAGGCUCCGACCAAAAUCGCACCACCUUCCCCUCAACUACGGGGAUGAGCCUAAACCAAGGAGAAGCUGCUUAGAGCCAGUGCAACCAUCUUAGAGAAUUAAAACAACAUCCUGCUCCGAGGACCACAACCAAGACACCAGCGGCUUUAAAUCCAAAACCAGGUCCUUAGCGAAGAAAGCUCCUCACCGUGCUCUCCGCGCUCCCGGGUGCGAGAAUCCAGCCCCGCUACUAGGCCAUAACGGAUAAGCAACAGGAUCCAGGCCUUCCUUCUCGGCUGAGAUGGGGAAUACUUCCCUGGUGGCGCAGUGGUUAAGAAUCCGCCUGCCAAUGCAGGGGACACGGGUUUGAGCCCGGGUCCGGGAAAAUCCCACAUGCCGCGGAGCAACUAAGCCCCUGCGCCACAACUACUGAGCCUGAGCUCUAGAGCCUGCACGCCGCAACUACUGAAGCCCACACACCUAGAGCCCCUGCUCCGCAACAAGAGAAAACACCGGAAAGAGAAGCCUGUGCACUGCAAUGAAGAGUAGCCCCCGCUCACCGCAACUACAGAAAGCCGGAGUGCAGCAACAAAGACCCAAAGCAGCCAAAAAUAAAUAAAUAAAUAAACUUAUAUUAAAAAAUACUCUUAAAAAAG